CCCUUAGAUGUCCUGGGCCGCACGCGCGUUACACUGAUGCAUUCAACGAGCUUAUAACCUUGGCCGAGAGGCCUGGGCAAUCUUGUUAACGUGCAUCGUGAUAGGGAUAGAUUAUUGAAAUUAUUAAUCUUGAACGAGGAAUUCCUAGUAAACGCAGAUCAUCAAUCUGCAUUGAUUACGUCCCUGCCCUUUGUGCACACUGCCCGUCGCACCUACCGAUUGGAUGGUCCGGUGAAGCCUCGGGAUUGUGGUUCUUGCCGCUUUAUUGUGGCGUGACCGCGAGAACUUGUCUAAACCUUAUCAUCUAGAGGAAGGUGAAGUCGUAACA
This 328-nucleotide ribosomal RNA is filed under the name uncultured eukaryote. Its description in RNAcentral is "partial 18S ribosomal RNA". It matches the Rfam family "Eukaryotic small subunit ribosomal RNA", at positions 1470 to 1796 of the family's 1831-position model. The record is from RNAcentral.